UGUCAUGGUGAUAUUGUACCACAGUGGAUCUGCUUUUCCAGACUUUAGGUUGAAAGAUAGUUCUGAGAAUUUUCCCUAGUUGACAGUUAACUGUCAUUUAAAUGUUUUUCUAACCUAAAUGAUGCAAAGCUCAGAUUAUCUUCAGCCCUAAAUAUGGUUUAUUACAGAUGAUUGCUGACACAGUGAGGAAAAUGAACUGGAGAGGAGCAAAAGAGAAGAGAGAAACUAGUUACACAUCUACUGCAAAAGUCGAGAGAGAUGAUGGCAGCAUGGACCAGGAUGGGGAUGGCAGGGAAGACAGAGCAAUGACAGAAAUCAAUGCUUGAGAAAGUACUUGAAUGGAUCUUCUUGUCCCUUUGGAAGAAGGAAUUUCAACACCCUCAACAUAGCAAAAAGCUUGGAAAGUUAUCAGCCUUGAUUGAAGAUGAAAUGGUUUCUUCACAGAUGUGUUUGACUAUUGCUAAGCAUCUCAACAAAUCUUCAGCCUACAGACUUCCAAUCUAGAAAUGAUGUGGGGAUCAAGAACCUCGACUUUAACCCUAUCAAGAAGGGAGGGUGUGGAAGAAGAGAGAUAGAGAAUAACACACAGACUCAUUUUUUUAUUCCCUACCAACUUAUGACUGUUGACACAGAGGCUGCCUUUGCUGUAAUUUACCAUAUUGAGAUAAGUGAUUGAUUGUAUCACCAAAGAAUACAUGGUGUGUUUAAUAUACAGGGAAGAAGUGGAGGUAAAGAAAUGGUCAGUGCCUACACAGAGCUGUCAAGAAUAUGUGCUGCAAACCUCAUUUUGCCUUUUUUUCCCCAUUCAGUAGGAACUCUGUGAAUAAGAGAAACAUAGAAAUUAUACUAGUCUACUGCACACUCCUUCUUGAAUUGCCAUGCAAAUCUGUUCAUCAAAAUUACCGAGUAAAAUUAAAUCAUACAAUUAGACCUAAUCACCUAGGUCACAUCAUCACAGUUGAAACAUCUUAAACAUACCCAAGGUGAUCUAAUUUAAAAACUUGGCAUUUUGUGGGGAUAUAUUAACACUUUCCUAUUUGGAGGACACAGCAACUCCUUUACCCCAUUCUUAUUAAAUAUUUAUAUGCAUGACAUCAGUGUUCUGAAAAUACCCUGUGUGAUAUAAAGCCAAUAUAUGGUUUCUCCAAAAGGAAAGCAUUAAAAUAAUUUGCUUAGAGAAAUUAGGGUUAUAGAUUUUUAAAUUAAUUUACCUCCACAUAUUUACUCUUAUAGAAAUGGGCACCAGAGUGAAAACAGGGAGAUAGGAAUCCAAGAGACUGAUGGUGACCAGGACCAAGGUGCCAUCAGGAAUGUUCUGAAGUGAUUGGAUUCAAAAUAUAUAUUGCAGUCAAAGAAAUUGCUAAUGAAUAUAAUGUAGAAGACGGGGAAAAAAGAAUUCCUGAUUGAAGAACUGGGAAAACUAGAGGUGCCUGGGUGGCUCAGUUGAUUAAGUUGCAGCUCUGAAUUUUGGUUCAGGUCAUGAUCUAAUGGAUUUUGAGUU
Molecule: long non-coding RNA, 1501 nt
Organism: Leopardus geoffroyi (Geoffroy's cat)
Lineage: Eukaryota; Metazoa; Chordata; Mammalia; Carnivora; Felidae
Exons: 4
Source: RefSeq, a predicted model, not a curated record